This 138-nucleotide small nucleolar RNA is filed under the name Ornithorhynchus anatinus (platypus). Lineage: Eukaryota; Metazoa; Chordata; Mammalia; Monotremata; Ornithorhynchidae. The record is from RNAcentral.
CCCCUCUCAGGAUGGCACCUGGAGAGUUUCCAGGACUCUCCCGGUCUCGGCUACAGGAGGGAGAGUCAAGGAGAGGCCUACCCAUUCCAUUCCUGGCUUGGCCAGUGGCUAGCGAGGGGAAGGCCUUCUGCUCCAAGU